This 492-nucleotide ribosomal RNA is filed under the name uncultured bacterium. Its description in RNAcentral is "partial 16S ribosomal RNA". It matches the Rfam family "Bacterial small subunit ribosomal RNA", at positions 29 to 507 of the family's 1533-position model. The record is from RNAcentral.
AGUGAACGCUGGCGGUAGGCCUAACACAUGCAAGUCGAACGGCAGCACAGUAAGAGCUUGCUCUUACGGGUGGCGAGUGGCGGACGGGUGAGGAAUACAUCGGAAUCUACUUUUUCGUGGGGGAUAACGUAGGGAAACUUACGCUAAUACCGCAUACGACCUACGGGUGAAAGCAGGGGAUCUUCGGACCUUGCGCGAUUGAAUGAGCCGAUGUCGGAUUAGCUAGUUGGCGGGGUAAAGGCCCACCAAGGCGACGAUCCGUAGCUAGUCUGAGAGGAUGAUCAGCCACACUGGAGCUGAGACACGGUCCAGACUCCUACGGGAGGCAGCAGUGGGGAAUAUUGGACAAUGGGCGCAAGCCUGAUCCAGCCAUACCGCGUGGGUGAAGAAGGCCUUCGGGUUGUAAAGCCCUUUUGUUGGGAAAGAAAAGCAGCAGGUUAAUACCCCGCUGUUCUGACGGUACCCAAAGAAUAAGCACCGGCUAACUUCGUG